Hordeum vulgare subsp. vulgare (domesticated barley) is the source of this 432-nucleotide long non-coding RNA. RefSeq lists it as uncharacterized. The record is from RefSeq and is a predicted model, not a curated record. NCBI's taxonomy places the organism in Eukaryota, Viridiplantae, Streptophyta, Magnoliopsida, Poales, Poaceae. The transcript has 4 exons.
AGAAGACUUUGAGUGCACGCCAAGGGAAAGGUGAAUCAGUUGAUGUAGGCAAUAAAGAUUCAGAACAUGCUGAAAUUGAAUGAAACAUAUAUUCAAUUGAAGAACUGUGAUACAAUGGAAUAUUUGUGAUUGCAAAAACGUCAAACUGGAGACGAGUAAGGCAUUCUCCUCUUAUGUGCAGAACCCUCUGUCCCCUCUUUUGCAAUCUGUCUUGUCCCCUGGUAUAUCAUUGUCCGUGUGAUGGUGCCUUGAGGAGCAUCCGAGUUCAAAGAUCCGGCCCUCGCCAUCGGGACCAACGGGGUCGUCGCCAAGUACAUCUGGAUGAUAUGAAGCAUUUGGCACCGGCGCUCACCUCUUUGACAAGCCACGCUUUUUGGGUUUGCUUGCAGUUCAGAUAGUUGAACUACUGACUAUUGACCGAAGAAAAAUUAU